Molecule: small RNA, 1641 nt
Filed under: Drosophila pseudoobscura pseudoobscura
Lineage: Eukaryota; Metazoa; Arthropoda; Insecta; Diptera; Drosophilidae
Description: GA32921
Source: RNAcentral
AGCAUUAAAACAAAGAUAUUGAGCAAGGAGGACCCUGAGCAAGCCAUCGACCGAAGAAGGAGUAUCAGGAGCUGGAGUAGCCAUCCGAGCCAGAGGAGGACAAGGUGGGGCCUCCUGUGAAUGAGAAAUUACAAAUCUGCAGGGUAUUCGAACGUCUGUCAACCCCAUGCUGAUGUCGGUGGUGUUUCCUUUUAGUUGUUUUCAACAGUCUGGCUUCGUCUAGUUGUCCGAGGUCCUAUGACCAGUGUCCGAUGUCCUGCUGCUGUGUCCCUGUGUGUUGUAUGUGUCACUUGGGCUAACUGUGCUACACACGGCACCGUGAGAUGGGUACUACAACCUCAUGCUGUCCUUCUCCCUGUCCCUGUCCAUGUCCAUGGCCAAAGCCAAGUCCAAGUCCAGCUGGUAACAUGUGACGAUGGCAAUUUGCAUUUCAGCGGGUGGGUUAGCCUCGUGUUAGCCACUGGGUGACAGACAUUAAAUAAUUAACUCUCAUUUAUCAUUUAUAAGGAUGCAGAGAGCGCCACUCUGCGGAGGGGGAGGCAGCCAGAGUGGGGGCCGGGCUGUCAGGACACAGACAACGCCAAGUAAUCCCCCAAAGAGAACAUUUAACAUACGGACUUCCAGACCCAGAGACAUGCAAAGUGAUUGAGUGGGGACCGGGACUGGGACUGGGACUGUAAUCGGAACAUGUGUAGAGAUAUUUAUUUAACAAACAUUGCGAAAUAUCAAGAGCGAUACCAGAGGCACGCAGUGGCAGUGGCAGUGGCAGUGGCAGGAAAGGAAAAGAAGGGCAAACAGGCGAAGGACAUCGAAGGGAAGGCACAACGACAAUCGAAAUGCGAAUGGAAAAGGAGAUGGGCGGAACACGAUGGCAAAUCAAAGGUGAAAAGAUGUGAAAAGCAAACGGAACGUGCACCGGGAGCAUUUAACCCAUACCCCAGCUUCGAGCAGAGCCCGGGCACCGGCCCGGACCCAGACCCGGACCCGAGACCGUACCCAUUUCCAUUCCCAUAGCCAUAACUCCUCCCGGAGCCGGGAGUAAGCCGCUGUUGGGACACACAUGACGUAUUGGCACGAGUCCCUGAGAAGCGAGUUGCGAGGUCGCAGGAGCUCUGUUCUGUGUGCUCUACCGGCUCCGGCUCCAGCUCCGGCUCCGGGGCACUUGAAAGCCCGGGCGUAUCUUGAUUGUUUGCAUGUAAAUCUGCACAAAAUCCCCAAAGUACCCAAGUACCUAGAGUAUCCAAAGGAAGAGGAGACAGAGACAGAGAGAGAGAGAGAGAGAGAGAGAGAGAGAGAAAGUCCUUGUCGACUGCCACCGCCAUCGCCAUCGCCACCACCUCCGCUAUCCAUCCGACAACUGGCUCUAUGGAUGGAGCCGUCCCCGUAUCGUUACCCUGAUGGAGCCGCUCACCAUCAUCAUCAUCGUCAUGAUGGCCUUGGCGCAUCGCUUCCCAUCGCUCUGUAUCGCUCAGCAUCUCACGGCAUCGGCAUCGGCAUCGUGGCAAUCCCUUGCACAAUUGAACCGAGUCCUGUGUGGGCGAGUUACCUGCUUGAACCGAUCUGUGCCGACUCUGGGAAUACCCUGCAGACACUGCAGAUAUUUACAUAUAUUUGGUAGCUAUAUACAUACAUGUACGACAU